Molecule: non-coding RNA, 981 nt
Organism: Dermacentor andersoni
Lineage: Eukaryota; Metazoa; Arthropoda; Arachnida; Ixodida; Ixodidae
Source: RefSeq, a predicted model, not a curated record
GCCAUAUAAUUUUGUGUGGAGCCCCUACACUAAUGCCACUGGACAUACUUCUUUUUGCUGCCAGCAGUUAGUGACAUAAAACCAAUGGCUGAUUGCACAAACAAUAAAGAUGCAUAAAAAAUGCUUGAUGUCAGAUUUCUCAGGUUCCUGUAAACAAAGCAAAUUAGCUGCUUUAAUGAGAAAGUUUGGCAGACUGGGUGGGAAUAGAACCUGGGGUGUGAAACAAGGACACUUCUGUGAUGCCACAAUAUCCAUGUGCUUUUGGAAGUAACCGUUGCAGAUGUAAACGCUACUGAGGGUGAGCUUUGUGUUGUGCCAAGAACUAGGUCUUUAAAAAUCGGUUGUCAGUCCCUUUAAGGUGUGCCUACUGUGUGUCAUAUUGUGCACGUCACAUUGCAGCCAUCUGGUUCACUAAAGAUGCUUUCACAUUCCCACACCUAAGCAGUCUUAACGUGUCUCUGCCCUUUUAUUGCAGGUACACCUAGCAAAUGUGUACAUUGACGAGGAGUGGCACCUGCUCUAGUGCCAUGGCUAGGACUCCCUGUUCUGCAAAGAACUGGCGAAACUGGUGUGCGGAGUUCUGGCACUCAGGAUAGGAGCAUCACAGGGGCUCUUUGGUGGUGCUUCCUGAACGACCGCAAUUUCAUUGAGAAGCCGGCAUUGAGCCUCCAUAAAUUGGAAGCUGUGGACAGUAUCAUCGACAUUGUUUCAAAUUUGUUUGUGUAAUGUUUGUAACAAUACAUGUAUUACAGUGAAAUGAUUAAUUUUCCAGAUGCACUUGAUGCAUAUCUUUCGAGAUGUGGUGCCCCUGAGGAGGAGAAAUCGCGGUGCUCAAAAUGGACCGUAGCCUAGCAGACAUGCUGAGAGAAAUUAAAUAACACAUGGGCAAGAAAGAAUCAAAAACCAGUUGAGAGAUUGUGCUUGCGUCGUCCAUUUCUUCCUUGCCUCUGCUUAUGCAAUAAAUUUAUUUUCUACAAAGCA